This 1968-nucleotide ribosomal RNA is filed under the name Pseudomonas veronii. RNAcentral's name for it is "partial 23S ribosomal RNA". It matches the Rfam family "Bacterial large subunit ribosomal RNA", at positions 1 to 2000 of the family's 2925-position model. Lineage: Bacteria; Pseudomonadati; Pseudomonadota; Gammaproteobacteria; Pseudomonadales; Pseudomonadaceae. The record is from RNAcentral.
GUUAUAUGGUCAAGUGAAGAAGCGCAUACGGUGGAUGCCUUGGCAGUCAGAGGCGAUGAAAGACGUGGUAGCCUGCGAAAAGCUUCGGGGAGUCGGCAAACAGACUUUGAUCCGGAGAUGUCUGAAUGGGGGAACCCAGCCAUCAUAAGAUGGUUACCUUACACUGAAUACAUAGGUGUAAGGGGCGAACCAGGGGAACUGAAACAUCUAAGUACCCUGAGGAAAAGAAAUCAACCGAGAUUCCCUUAGUAGUGGCGAGCGAACGGGGACUAGCCCUUAAGUGGCUUUGAGAUUAGCGGAACGCUCUGGAAAGUGCGGCCAUAGUGGGUGAUAGCCCUGUACGCGAAAAUCUCUUAGUCAUGAAAUCGAGUAGGACGGAGCACGAGAAACUUUGUCUGAAUAUGGGGGGACCAUCCUCCAAGGCUAAAUACUACUGACUGACCGAUAGUGAACUAGUACCGUGAGGGAAAGGCGAAAAGAACCCCGGAGAGGGGAGUGAAAUAGAUCCUGAAACCGUAUGCGUACAAGCAGUGGGAGCCUACUUGUUAGGUGACUGCGUACCUUUUGUAUAAUGGGUCAGCGACUUAUUUUCAGUGGCGAGCUUAACCGAAUAGGGGAGGCGUAGCGAAAGCGAGUCUUAAUAGGGCGUCUAGUCGCUGGGAAUAGACCCGAAACCGGGCGAUCUAUCCAUGGGCAGGUUGAAGGUUGGGUAACACUAACUGGAGGACCGAACCGACUACCGUUGAAAAGUUAGCGGAUGACCUGUGGAUCGGAGUGAAAGGCUAAUCAAGCUCGGAGAUAGCUGGUUCUCCUCGAAAGCUAUUUAGGUAGCGCCUCAUGUAUCACUGUAGGGGGUAGAGCACUGUUUCGGCUAGGGGGUCAUCCCGACUUACCAAACCGAUGCAAACUCCGAAUACCUACAAGUGCCGAGCAUGGGAGACACACGGCGGGUGCUAACGUCCGUCGUGAAAAGGGAAACAACCCAGACCGUCAGCUAAGGUCCCAAAGUUAUGGUUAAGUGGGAAACGAUGUGGGAAGGCUUAGACAGCUAGGAGGUUGGCUUAGAAGCAGCCACCCUUUAAAGAAAGCGUAAUAGCUCACUAGUCGAGUCGGCCUGCGCGGAAGAUGUAACGGGGCUCAAACCAUACACCGAAGCUACGGGUAUCACGUAAGUGAUGCGGUAGAGGAGCGUUCUGUAAGCCUGUGAAGGUGAGUUGAGAAGCUUGCUGGAGGUAUCAGAAGUGCGAAUGCUGACAUGAGUAACGAUAAUGGGUGUGAAAAACACCCACGCCGAAAGACCAAGGUUUCCUGCGCAACGUUAAUCGACGCAGGGUUAGUCGGUCCCUAAGGCGAGGCUGAAAAGCGUAGUCGAUGGAAAACAGGUUAAUAUUCCUGUACUUCUGGUUAUUGCGAUGGAGGGACGGAGAAGGCUAGGCCAGCUUGGCGUUGGUUGUCCAAGUUUAAGGUGGUAGGCUGGAAUCUUAGGUAAAUCCGGGAUUCUAAGGCCGAGAGCUGAUGACGAGUUAUCUUUUAGAUGACGAAGUGGUUGAUGCCAUGCUUCCAAGAAAAGCUUCUAAGCUUCAGGUAACCAGGAACCGUACCCCAAACCGACACAGGUGGUUGGGUAGAGAAUACCAAGGCGCUUGAGAGAACUCGGGUGAAGGAACUAGGCAAAAUGGCACCGUAACUUCGGGAGAAGGUGCGCCGGUGAGGGUGAAGGACUUGCUCCGUAAGCUCAUGCCGGUCGAAGAUACCAGGCCGCUGCGACUGUUUAUUAAAAACACAGCACUCUGCAAACACGAAAGUGGACGUAUAGGGUGUGACGCCUGCCCGGUGCCGGAAGGUUAAUUGAUGGGGUUAGCUAACGCGAAGCUCUUGAUCGAAGCCCCGGUAAACGGCGGCCGUAACUAUAACGGUCCUAAGGUAGCGAAAUUCCUUGUCGGGUAAGUUCCGACCUGCACGAAUGGC